AGCAUCUAUACGGUGAAACUGCGAAAGGCUCAUUAAAUCAGUUAUCGUUUAUUUGAUAGUACCUUACUACAUGGAUAACCGUGGUAAUUCUAGAGCUAAUACAUGCUAAAAACCCCGACUUCGGGAGGGGUGUAUUUAUUAGAUAAAAAACCAACGCCCUUCGGGGCUUCUUGGUGAUUCAUAAUAACUUAACGAAUCGCAUGGCCUUGCGCCGGCGAUGGUUCAUUCAAAUUUCUGCCCUAUCAACUUUCGAUGGUAGGAUAGUGGCCUACCAUGGUAUCAACGGGUAACGGGGAAUUAGGGUUCUAUUCCGGAGAGGGAGCCUGAGAAACGGCUACCACAUCCAAGGAAGGCAGCAGGCGCGCAAAUUACCCAAUCCCGACGCGGGGAGGUAGUGACAAUAAAUACUGAUACAGGGCUCUUUUGGGUCUUGUAAUUGGAAUGAGUACAAUUUAAAUCCCUUAACGAGGAACAAUUGGAGGGCAAGUCUGGUGCCAGCAGCCGCGGUAAUUCCAGCUCCAAUAGCGUAUAUUAAAGUUGUUGCAGUUAAAAAGCUCGUAGUUGAACCUUGGGCCUGGCUGGCCGGUCCGCCUCACCGCGUGCACUGGUCCGGCCGGGCCUUUCCUUCUGGGGAGCCGCAUGCCCUUCACUGGGUGUGUCGGGGAACCAGGACUUUUACUUUGAAAAAAUUAGAGUGUUCAAAGCAGGCCUUUGCUCGAAUACAUUAGCAUGGAAUAAUAGAAUAGGACGUGCGGUCCUAUUUUGUUGGUUUCUAGGACCGCCGUAAUGAUUAAUAGGGAUAGUCGGGGGCAUCAGUAUUCAAUUGUCAGAGGUGAAAUUCUUGGAUUUAUUGAAGACUAACUACUGCGAAAGCAUUUGCCAAGGAUGUUUUCAUUAAUCAGUGAACGAAAGUUAGGGGAUCGAAGACGAUCAGAUACCGUCGUAGUCUUAACCGUAAACUAUGCCGACUAGGGAUCGGGCGAUGUUAUCAUUUUGACUCGCUCGGCACCUUACGAGAAAUCAAAGUCU
RNAcentral lists this ribosomal RNA (1029 nucleotides) under Pseudocenococcum floridanum. RNAcentral's name for it is "SSU rRNA". It matches the Rfam family "Eukaryotic small subunit ribosomal RNA", at positions 68 to 1106 of the family's 1831-position model. The record is from RNAcentral. Lineage: Eukaryota; Fungi; Ascomycota; Dothideomycetes; Gloniales; Gloniaceae.